GGCCUUUUCUUCUGGGGAAUCCCAUGGCCUUCACUGGCUGUGGCGGGGAACCAGGACUUUUACUGUGAAAAAAUUAGAGUGUUCAAAGCAGGCCUUUGCUCGGAUACAUUAGCAUGGAAUAAUAGAAUAGGACGUGCGGUUCUAUUUUGUUGGUUUCUAGGACCGCCGUAAUGAUUAAUAGGGAUAGUCGGGGGCGUCAGUAUUCAGCUGUCAGAGGUGAAAUUCUUGGAUUUGCUGAAGACUAACUACUGCGAAAGCAUUCGCCAAGGAUGUUUUCAUUAAUCAGGGAACGAAAGUUAGGGGAUCGAAGACGAUCAGAUACCGUCGUAGUCUUAACCAUAAACUAUGCCGACUAGGGAUCGGGCGGGGUUUCUAUGGAUGACCC
Molecule: ribosomal RNA, 385 nt
Filed under: Talaromyces marneffei
Lineage: Eukaryota; Fungi; Ascomycota; Eurotiomycetes; Eurotiales; Trichocomaceae
Description: SSU rRNA
Rfam family: Eukaryotic small subunit ribosomal RNA
Source: RNAcentral